Molecule: ribosomal RNA, 235 nt
Filed under: uncultured bacterium
Lineage: Bacteria
Description: partial 16S ribosomal RNA
Rfam family: Bacterial small subunit ribosomal RNA
Source: RNAcentral
GCGACGCCGAGCGGAACCCGAAAACCUGUCUCAGUUCGGAUCGGAGUCUGCAACCCGACUCCGUGAAGCUGGAUUCGCUAGUAAUCGCGCAUCAGCCAUGGCGCGGUGAAUACGUUCCCGGGCCUUGUACACACCGCCCGUCAAGCCAUGGAAGCCGGGGGUGCCUGAAGUGUGCAGCCGCAAGGAGCGCCCUAAGGUAAAACCGGUGACUGGGGCUAAGUCGUAACAAGGUAUC